RNAcentral lists this ribosomal RNA (243 nucleotides) under Triticum aestivum (bread wheat). Its description in RNAcentral is "partial small subunit ribosomal RNA". The record is from RNAcentral. Lineage: Eukaryota; Viridiplantae; Streptophyta; Magnoliopsida; Poales; Poaceae.
AUGUUGCUAGAUUUGCCGCAGAGGCAAAUGCAUGACUUACUUGCUUUUGACUUUCAUAGUGUUCAGAUCUUUUCUUGUGACAAGGAUGCACAAAAUCAAGUUUUUGCCGGCAGUAGUUUCUUUCGCUGUUCAACUGAUCUGUUCCACUGGAACAAGGGGUCCACUGGACUUCUUAUUGUUUCCCAGCCUGAUGUGGUGGCUCGUUGUGUCUGUGGUCGCUUUUGUAUCUAUGUGAGGUCGUAG